GCAGUUCGCACUCUGCGGCCUCCUCAGGCACUAGAGCUUCCCCUGCGUCCGCCUUUGGGGGAGGGGAGGGAGUGAAGCUGUGAAUUCCGGGAGAAGUCAAGGGUCGCUCGGGGCGUGGGUCCGCGCGCGGAGGGGCUCGCUGUCCCGGUGCCAGCGGGAGCUGGAAAGCUUCGGCUGGGGCCUGAGUGGACGGGAAGGCGGCGGCCUCCGCGGGAUCCUUCCCGGGGCCGAUCCACAGUCAGGAUCCCCAGCUCCACCGCCAUCAAGUGGGACUGGAGUUCGGCCAGAGAAGAAAACGACUUCGGGAACUGGCAACGAGGGAGAGGGAAAAGUUGAGAAACGUGACUCAGCCUCUUUAGUUCAUCUUUCACGUGGGGCAGCGGAGGCCUGGCGGGGACGGGGAGCCGCUCGGGGACUGCAGGCCCGUAGGUCGCUCCCUAUCCGUGAGGGAUUGGUUGGUUCCAGGACACCUGCGGAUCCCAAAAUCUGCGGAUAAUCAAGUCCCUGUUAUAAAAUAUAAAAUGGGCUGGGCUCGGUGGCUUACGCCUGUAAUCCCAGCACUUUGUGGGGCCGAGGCGGGAGGAUCACUUGAGGUCAGGAGUUCGAGACCAGCCUGGCCAACAUGAUGAAAUCCCCGUAUCUACUAAAAAAAUAGAAAAAUUAGCUGGGCAUGGCGGCGGGCACCUGUAAUCCCAGCUACUCGGGAGGCUGAGGCACUAGAAUCUUCGCUUGAACCGAGGAAGCGGAGGUUGCAGUGAGCCGACAUUGCGCCACUGCACCCCAGCCUGGACGACAGAGCUAGACUCAGUAUAAAAAAUAAAAUAAAAAAUAUAAAAUGGUAUAUAGUAUUUGCAUAUAACCUACACACAUCCUCUCGUAUACUUUAAAUCAUCUCUAGAUUACUUAUACCUAAUACAGUGUAAAUGUUAUGUAGUUGUUAUACUGUAUUGUUUAGGGAAUGAUGACCAAAAAAAAGUACAUGUUUAGUGAAGAUGCUAUUUUUUUUUCCUGAAUAUUUUAGAUCCCUUGUUGGUUGAAUUCAGGAAUAUGAAGGGCCUACUGCACUUGAACCUCUGGCGCUGCCCUGCCUUCUGUGUUCCCUUCACAGCAUUCUCUGAUACCCUGUGACUCAGUUUCCCCAUUUGGCAGUUGGAAAAUAGAAAAGGAUUUAUUAAUAACUGAAGCUAGAGCUGUUGGAAAUGAAGCAUCAAGGUUUCCUACACAAAGGGAUUAGGAGGCUGGAGUGCAAUGGCGCGAUCUCGGCUCACCGCAACCUCUGCCUCCCGGGUUCAAGCGAUUCUCCUGCCUUAGCCUCCUGAGUAUCUGGGAUUACAGGCAUGCACCACCGCGCCCAGCUAAUUUUGUAGUUUUAGUAGAGAUGGGGUUUCUCCAUGUUGGUGAGGCUGGUCUCGAACUCCUGACCUCAGGUGAUCCGCCCGCCUCAGCCUCCCAAAGUGCUGGGAUUACAGGCGUGAGCCACCGUGCCCGGCCACGCCAGGCACUGUUCUAAGCACUUGAUAUGUAUUAACAAAUUUAACUUUCAUAACCCCAAGGUGUGGGAAUUAUUGUUAUCUCCAUUUUACAUUACUAUUAAUAUUGUUACCCUGUUAUUCCCAUUUCAUGGAGAAACUGAGAUAAAUAACAGUGAAGCCACUUGACCAAGGCCACCCAACUGGUAGUACAUGAUAGAGCCAGGAGGAUUUGAACCCAGCAAAUAUAUUUCCAGGGCCCCACUUCCUCAACCACUGUGUGUCUGCCUCUCCUAAUAAGAACGGGGUUACAGUGUACCACAUUCUGGAUGUUGGUCUAACAGUGUGAAUUCUUUUCAUUAUAUCAACCUCUUUCAGAGUGACUUAGAUUAUCUGUACCUGUAUAAAUGUUUAAUAUAUGCUAUCUGACCGGUGAUAAUGUUUCUACACACUGAAACUUCAAAGUACUAGCUUAAACAGGGCAAUUAAGGUCAUAUGUGAAAUUGAGAGGACUCCUUCCCCAAUGGUCCACAGCUUUCUUAAUUCUGCCAAGUGCUAUGGCCAAAAUCUUGACUUUCCCACCCAUAGUGGGUCCCAUUUUACCUAGUGGCAACCUUGAGUACCUACCCAUCUCCACAUCAAUGAUCCUAACUUCCUAUCUGCUGCUGUGUUUUCAAGGAUGCCGAAAAGGUCGUCCUGCCCACUCAAACAUAUCCCUUACCCCUGUAUGUGUAGAAACUGAACAGUUGGAGGUUUUCCUCUUGGUUUGAAGCCAAAAAUGAUAGUUCAUCUUUUGUUAAAAUGCAAAUAUCACAAGAGAGAAAAAUAAACUGGGCCUCAUCAGAUAUUUUCAUGUAAUGAGAAUGAGAUUACCAGAUCCUGGCCAAGCAUGGUGGCUCACACCUGUAAUCCCAGCACUUUGGGAGGCCAAGGCAAGUGGAUCACCAGAGGUCAGGAGUUCGAGACCAGCCUGGCCAAUGUGGUGAACCCCCGUCUCUACUAAUAAUACAAAAAAAAAAUCACUGAUCCUUCCUAAGAACAAGUUUUAGUAGGAGAGAGACCAGGACUAUCAACUCACCC
RNAcentral lists this long non-coding RNA (2549 nucleotides) under Homo sapiens (human). Its description in RNAcentral is "HSALNT0291236". The record is from RNAcentral. Lineage: Eukaryota; Metazoa; Chordata; Mammalia; Primates; Hominidae.